Non-coding RNA from Ictidomys tridecemlineatus (thirteen-lined ground squirrel), 5585 nucleotides. NCBI's taxonomy places the organism in Eukaryota, Metazoa, Chordata, Mammalia, Rodentia, Sciuridae. The record is from RefSeq and is a predicted model, not a curated record.
AGAGCAAGCGCAGGAAUGUGGGAGCUCCCGUUGGACCAGAGGCAGGCGACGUCUCACUGCACAGGUGACGUCUGAGCCAAGACCGGAGGAGCCACAUCUUGUUCUGGAGAAGAAUGUUCCGGGCUGAAAACUGCAUGGACCCAGGAGACAGCCACCUGGCUGAAGGCCAUGGAUGGGAUGUACGUCCUGAUCCAGACUGGGUGCCAGGUCCUGCUGUCUCCUGCUGUGGUGCUGACAGGGACCUGGGUAAGGAGCCUCCACAGGCUUCUCCAGUGCGAAGCUACGGCCUUAUCUUGGUCACUAAUAAGUGUCUCUCGAGGCAUGUUUUAUGACGACGUGAAUGUUCUGUGAGACUCAGCCAUUCCCUAGUUUUAACACUUAUUAAUGGAUUUCAUCUGAAUCAGUUCUUAUUAAAAUAUUUGCCAAACCCUGAGUCUUCUAGACCCAGUUGUCACUGGGCUAACGUUAAGAGAGUUGCCUCCUGCCUAAUUCUCUUUUAUUUAGAUUAAUGUGAAUGCAUAGAUUCAUUUUUUUCCACACAGACAUUUAGCUGGGUGUGAAGCUGCGGGCCUGCAGUGCAGCUGCGCAGGAGCUGAGGCAGGGGCUGGCAACACAGGGAGACCCCAUCUCAAAAGAAAAAUGGGAGAAGAAAGCAGGUUUUAUUAUUGAAAAUGCACAAUGGAUUCUACAGUAAACACAAGUGUUUAGUAGUCAGAGUCGUGAAACUAUCACUACAAUUUAAUUUCAACAUUUUUGUCACCCCUGAAAGAAAUCUUGUACCCAUUAGCAGUCAUCCUUGUUCCCCCUUCCCAGUAUUCCUUCCCUUACCUAUACCUCCAGCUAUAAGUAAGCCAUCUCUUGCUAAAAAAAAGAAAAGAAACUGCACAUAAGUGUAUGAUUUAAAAAAUAAUUACAAAGGGGGCUGAAUCUGAGUGAAGUAGUACACACCUAUAAUUCCAGCAACUCAGAAGGCUGAGACAGGAGGAUCGCAAGUUAGAGGCCACUAUCAGCAACUUUGCAAGACUCUUGUCUCAAAAUAAAAAGGGGUAGGGUUAUAGGACCUGGGGAUAUAGCUUAAUGAUGUAAUGGUUGCUCAGCACAAAGCUGUGCGUUCCAUCCCCAGUACUGACAAAAGGAAAAAAAAAAUUCUUCCCAAAGAUUCCUAAACUUCAGAUGUUGUGCUUUGAAACCACAGCGAGAUGCACCUUCCAUUGGGUGUGGGGGUGAUUCUUCCUCCGUCACAUGCUCGCCACCUUGGGACUUUUUACUUUUUUUUUGGUGUGGGGAUUGAACCCAGGGCCUUGUGCAUAUGAGGCAAGCCCUCUACCACCUGAGCCAUACCCCCAGCCCCACUUUUGGACUUCUGACAUAACCAGUGGUUGUGCACAGUGGCACAUGCCUAUAAUCCAGCAACUUGGGAGGCUGAAUCAGGAGCAUUGUUGAUCGGAGACAAACCUCAGCAACUUAGUGGGACCCUGUCUCUAAAUAGAAGAAUAUAAAGGAGCAGAUCUGUGGCUCAGUGGUAGAGUGCCCCUGCAUUCAGUGCCCAGGACCACGAAAAAAGAGAAAGUACUAAUCUUUUAGAAAUGAAUGGAGCUGAUGGAGGCAGGUUGUUUUUUUUUUUUUUUUUUUGGUACUGGGGAUUGACCCCAUGGAUGCUCUACAACCGAGCUGUACUCUCAGCCCUUCUUAUUUUUUAUUUUGAGAUAGGGAGGAGGAUAGUAAGUUUGAGGCCAGUCUGACAAUUUGGUGAGACCCUGUCUCAAAAAUAAAGUUAAAACACAGGCAGGAGACAGAUGUAGCUCUUUGGUAGAGCUCUUGCCUAGUACAUGCGUGUGAGACCCUGGGCUCAAUCCCCAGCAACCUGGUCUCUGCACUUAGUCUUGGCUGCCUAAAGGUGGGGGCAGCAGUCCUUCCUCUCAGUUGACCGUGGAAGUUAGAACCCAGAUCAGGCCCCAGAUGUGCUCACGGCUACUGGGUGGUCCUCUCUGGACCCUCUUAGUAAAGAGGAGACCCCCACGUUUACACACCACACCAGUUACUACCCAGAACCAGCUGGAAAGAUGGUUCUGGGGGGCUUACAUGACUCCUUCAGGUCCAAACCUAGCCAGGGUUCCUUCACCCUCUGGAUCCCAGGGGAGCCUGGACACACCCUGCACUUUCCCUAGCUUCCAGCUGACCAGCAGCUGAGCAAAGCUUCAUGGAUCCCACACUGGCUUUGCUCUAGAUGUCACCUAUGACGUGUGGCUUAUGAUGAUAAUGGUGACCUUGGUGACUCUCCAGGGCCUUCGCUGUGUCUUCACAUCUGUCUCCUCUGCUGUCUUGUCUCUAGGCAGGUCUCUGCUUGGCUCUGCAUACAGCAUAUUAAUCACUGACGGCAUAUUUUGUCCAGAACAAUACCGGUUGUUUUGACCUGAACUUUCCCAAUCUCUCUCCUCCCUUUAAGGGCCGAAGACACCCAGAUAACAACUUCCUGUCAGGCCACCGGGGCAGCAGCUGGAAGUCUCCAGCCGAGUUCUUCCCUGCCUGGUGCCCCUGCUCCUCUCCCGUCCAGCCUUUUGUGUGCCUCAGUGCACUAAGAUGGCCUUGAUGGCCGUAGCCCCAUCCUCUGGGAUUCUGGCUUUCCUAAGAAGUCUUCCUCCUAGCCCUGGCUUCUCCUGGAGUCAGUAAGGGCACUGGGUUUGGUAACUGCCACUUGUCCACUUCAGCUCAUGCUGUCCGGCCCAGCACCCGCUUGCUCAAUCUCAUAAUGUGCAGGGUCAGUGUUGGACUGGAACUCGUGCCUCUGGGUAAAACAUUACCAUUGAUGAGAGUCAGCUUUGCGUCAUGAUCUGUGUCUUUAGCUGAAGGCACAAGGUCCAAGUGUUGCCAUCAAAGGCCCCAGGAGCAGGGCACUCGCCUCCUCAGCGAGGUUCGUUUGUUUGUGUUCGGCUUUGGGGUCCCUGCUCCUUCACCUCUUUUGUUUUUACAAGCCUGUGAAUCGUUACCAUCAUUCCAAAAGCUAGACAUGCGCGGGAAAUGCUGUGCCGUGCGCUCCACCCAUCUCCUGGACUCUGGCUCAUCCUGCUGGGGCUUUGCACGCUCGGGAGCAGGCUUGUGUCUGUGAGAAUCGCCUGUGUGGGGGAAAGGGCUGCCUGUGUCCACUGCUUUAGCAGGUGGCCUUGCUCCAGGCUGGUGAGCAGCAUUUGGAAGGCAGAGGGCUGCAGUGUGAGGUCUGCCCAGAAAGGCCAGGAGAUGGUGUGCAGGACUACACAUGUGGAGUCCCAGCAGCUGGGCACCAAGGGGCAGAGGUGCCCAGUAGCCACCAGGUAAACUAGUUGGUCAUUCAGAGAGGAGCCUGAAUUUGGAAGGAGUCAGUUAACUGGUGCUACCUGUAGGGUUGGGGUUGUAAAGUGAGAGGCCAGAAAACAUUCACUUCCUGGAGUGUCGGGGACCACUGUGGCCAGGCAGGCCGAGUGGAGGGCAUGCUCAGGGAAAAGGGCGUUCCAGCCGGCCAGGCCCUGCCAGGACCCAGGUGGGAGGAGCGCUUGGCGGGACGCUGGAUUUGAUGGUGGGGGCAGCCGUGGCCAGUGUGGUUUCUGUGGCUCAAUGGGGUGGAAAUCUCAGAGAGGGUUGAGGAGCGGGCAGGUCAGAAGAUGAGGAAAUGUGGCCCCCACGACCCUAGCCACUUCCCUUUGUCACAAAAGGGGAUGCAGAAAUGAGACCAGGGCUAGAGGAAGGCGAGGCUCAAGGGACAGUGGGUGCAGGAGGGGUACCACGUUCUCACCAGGGGAGCCUCCAGCGACAGGGAAGGCCAGAGGGGCAGAGUCCUCUGGCAAGUGCAGGGACAGGGGCCUGGGGAGGCCCUUCUGUGGUGGAUCCCAUGGAGCCACUGGCCCUCACAAGGACUUCCCAGCCACCAGGAUUGUGGCCAAACACAUCUAUUAAUUUGUUUUAAGAUGGGGAGUAUGUUGUCCAGGCUGGUCUCGAAUCCUUGAGACAAGUGGUCCUCCUGCCUCAGCCUCCUAAGAAGCUGGGACUAUGGGCACAUGCCACCAAGUCUGGGUUAAACCUCUUAUAAAGUGCCUAGUCCCAGCUAUUUUGUUGAACACAAAAAACAGACUCAGCCACUGACCAUUUUCGACCUACAACAAAAGGACACUUCACAGGAUCCCAGUUCCCUGAGCAGUGUCCACCAGCCAGUACAGGCAGUGCCUCCACGUUGAAGCUUUGCUGUUGAGGUUGGUAUGUGCUCUUCCAGGGUGCUCCCGCCCAGGGAAGCGCACUGCAGACACGGCACUUCUGAGCCAGACUGCUGUCUGUCCUGAGACGAGGGUCCCCACUGGGGACGAGGGAUGGGUCCCCUCCUCCAGUGCCCUCACCACUUAGAAACCACCCCCUUGGACAGGCCCACAGUCCUGCCAUGCUCUGAAUGCUGAAAGGGCCAUGUGGACUUGCAGCGGCUCUGGAUUUUUUUGUCCUGCUGUCCUUGGUACAGGGAAGACUGCCACCUGGCUGGUCUCAGGAUUACUUGAUUGAGAUAUGGUGGGAAAAAAAAAUGAUUCAAAGACUUCAAACUUCCACUUUUUUGAACAUUGAAGAGGGGAAAGGCAAUUUCAGCUUUGGAGUUUGUUCUCUUAGGAACCCGACAGUGAGGAGGGCCGCAUUUUCAAUCUCAGGCAGUUUUAGAAGGCCGGCUCACUUUGGCUGUCAUUAGCUCACUGGGGCGUGGCUCAAAACCUUCUAGGAGUAGAAGUCAACUGCUAAUCCAGAGAACCAGGAGGAUCACCGAGGAGUAUUGGUGGGUACUAGGGAUGUGGCUUUAUGGAUGAUGGGACUUUUCCUUAGCAGAGGCCUACCCUGAGUGACCACCUUCUUAGCCCAGUGGGCAGAGAGGACACUGAGGAAUACUGGGUUACUGUGUUCCCAGGAGACGACAUCCACAGUACCGCACCUGGCCUCUCAGCCCCAUCUUUCCUAGGACGAUUCUUUCCUGAAUUGUCUGAAUGUGUGGUGACAAGGCCCUGACUCUGCGUGUCACUUUUCUGGGCUGCAGGACACUACCUGUUUAAAAGGUUCACACCCUGGGGACCUAGUCUUUCAUCCCUUUCCCAGCCUCACAACAGGCAGCCGUCGUCGUGACAGCGCACACUCCGCAGACCCAUGUCCUCCUUCAGGUGGGCUGUCCCAAGGCCAACACGUGCAUGGGGGUGGUCUUACAAGUUUGUUGGCCUUAAAACCUGAAUUAUUUCUUUAAUCAGUGCCAUCAGUAAUAAAAGUUGAUGAAAGUGAAAAACAAAUCUACGCAGGUGAAACUCCUUGGAGGCAUCUCAGUCCUCUCGUCUUUGCCUGACUGACCAUCAGUCCUGCUGGCCCACAUCCUGUUUGUCCACAGCACACAGAUAAAGGGAAGACCAAGAGAACCCAGAGUCUCCGUGGUCAGUGAUUUAGCACACAGAGCCCUGUAGUUCAGUGAGGAAAGUGGCCACAUGCAGUGACCCUGAUGGAGCAGCUGACCUGAACGCAGGAAAAAUCAAUCUCACACAAACACAAGAAAUGACUGGAGAUAAUCAGACUUGAACACAGAAAAAAAAAAAAAAAGAAAA